RNAcentral lists this ribosomal RNA (497 nucleotides) under uncultured bacterium. Its description in RNAcentral is "partial 16S ribosomal RNA". It matches the Rfam family "Bacterial small subunit ribosomal RNA", at positions 28 to 507 of the family's 1533-position model. The record is from RNAcentral.
GAUGAACGCUGGCGGCGUGCCUAAUACAUGCAAGUCGAGCGAACAGACGAGGAGCUUGCUCCUCUCACGUUAGCGGCGGACGGGAGUAUAACACGAGUAUCACCUACUUAUAUUUCUGAGAAAAUUUCGGGAAUCCGGAUCAAAUCCCGUAGAAUAUAUUGAACCGCAUUGUGGAUUGGUAAAAGUCGGUUUUUCGGGCACUUAUAGCUGGAUCCGCGCCGCAUUAGCUAGUUGGUAAGGUAACAGCUUACCAAGGCAACGAUGCGUAGCCGACCUGAGGGGGUGGUCGGCCACACUGGAACUGAGCCACGGUCCAGACUCCUACGGUAGGCAGCAGUAGGGAAUCUGCCGCAAUGGGCGAAAGCCUGACGGAGCAACGCCGCGUGAGUGAUGAAGGUCUUCGGAUCGUAAAACCCUGUUAUUAGGGAAGAACAAAUGUGUAAGUAACUAUGCACGUCUUGACGGUACCUAAUCAGAAAGCCACGGCUAACUACGUG